This 383-nucleotide non-coding RNA is filed under the name Aspergillus brasiliensis CBS 101740. RNAcentral's name for it is "Eukaryotic large subunit ribosomal RNA". It matches the Rfam family "Eukaryotic large subunit ribosomal RNA", at positions 1009 to 1383 of the family's 3401-position model. Lineage: Eukaryota; Fungi; Ascomycota; Eurotiomycetes; Eurotiales; Aspergillaceae. The record is from Rfam by way of RNAcentral.
UAUCGAAAAUGAUAUAAGUAAGAAGCCUACUGAGUCAUUGGUUAAUAAAAAAUAUCAAUCAAGUAUAGUGUAAGAAGCCCUUGUUGUUGCUUAAGUUGUACGUGAGCAUUAGAUUGGAGCGUUACUAGUGGGCCAUUUUUGGUAAGCAGAACUGGCGAUGCGGGAUGAACCGAACGCGAGGUUAAGGUGCCGGAAUGCACGCUCAUCAGACACCACAAAAGGUGUUAGUUCAUCUAGACAGCCCGACGGUGGCCAUGGAAGUCGGAAUCCGCUAAGGAGUGUGUAAUAACUGACGUACCGAAUUAAAUAGCCCUGAAUAUGAAAUAUACUGUACUAGGCCCGUCGUACUAUUCAGCAGAGACAAUGGACAAUGCCGAUGAGUA